UGUCUAAGUACAAGCCUCACUAAGGUGAAACCGCGAAUGGCUCAUUAAAUCACACCUAAUCUACUGGAUAGUUAACAGUUACUUGGAUAACUGCGGUAAUUCUGGAGCUAAUACAUGCACAAAGCCCCGAACUUACGUGAGGGGCGCUUUUAUUAGAUCAAAACCAAACGGCUUCGGCUGUUCUCUUGGUGACUCUGAAUAACUUUGGGCUGAUCGCAUAGCCUAGCGCUGGCGACAUAUCCUUCGAAGGUGUGCCCUAUCAACUGUCGACUGUGGCAUAGACGCCCACAGUGGUUUUGACGGGUAACGGGGAAUCAGGGUUCGAUUCCGGAGAGGGAGCCUUAAAAACGGCUACCACAUCUAAGGAAGGCAGCAGGCACGCAAAUUACCCAAUGACCGAAGGUCGAGGUAGUGACGAAAACUAACGAUACGGGACUCAUCUGAGGCCCCGUAAUCGGAAUGAGUACACUUUAAAACCGUCCCCGAGGAUCUAUUGGAGGGCAAGUCUGGUGCCAGCAGCCGCGGUAAUUCCAGCUCCAAUAGCGUAUAUUAAAGUUGUUGUGGUUAAAAAGCUCGUAGUUGGAUCUCGGCGGUCUGAGGGCGGUUCGCUUGCUUAAGUGCUACUGCCCUAUAGGCCGUAGUUUUGCCAGAGGCCUCGGGGUGCUCUUAACCGAGUGUCCCGCGGCGCUGGCGGGUUUACUUUGAAAAAAUUAGAGUGCUCAAAGCAGGCUUU
Molecule: ribosomal RNA, 733 nt
Filed under: Microcalanus sp. AC-2010
Lineage: Eukaryota; Metazoa; Arthropoda; Copepoda; Calanoida; Clausocalanidae
Description: SSU rRNA
Rfam family: Eukaryotic small subunit ribosomal RNA
Source: RNAcentral